AUCCUACGGGGCGCAGCAGUGGGGAAUAUUGCACAAUGGGGGGAACCCUGAUGCAGCGACGCCGCGUGAAGGAUGAAGUAUUUCGGUACGUAAACUUCUAUCAGCAGGGAAGAAAAUGACGGUACCUGACUAAGAAGCCCCGGCUAACUACGUGCCAGCAGCCGCGGUAAUACGUAGGGGGCAAGCGUUAUCCGGAUUUACUGGGUGUAAAGGGAGCGUAGACGGCGAUGCAAGUCUGAAGUGAAAGGCGGGGGCCCAACCCCCGGACUGCUUUGGAAACUGUAUGGCUGGAGUGCAGGAGAGGG
This 305-nucleotide ribosomal RNA is filed under the name uncultured bacterium. RNAcentral's name for it is "bacterial SSU rRNA". It matches the Rfam family "Bacterial small subunit ribosomal RNA", at positions 335 to 658 of the family's 1533-position model. The record is from RNAcentral.